This 266-nucleotide signal recognition particle RNA is filed under the name Clostridia bacterium. RNAcentral describes it as "signal recognition particle sRNA large type". It matches the Rfam family "Bacterial large signal recognition particle RNA". From Rfam's summary of the family: The signal recognition particle (SRP) is a universally conserved ribonucleoprotein involved in the co-translational targeting of proteins to membranes. Lineage: Bacteria; Bacillati; Bacillota; Clostridia. The record is from RNAcentral.
CUGCGCGUAGGCGGGGAGUUAGCGGCACCCUGUACCCGAAAUCCGCUAUAUCGGGGCUGAACGCCUUUCUCGGCAUCGGCUAUGGAAGGUUGCGCGUCGUAAGGAACGUUGAUAACAAGGUCUUAUGCAACGUGAUACCGUGAACCGUGUCAGGACAGGAAUGUAGCAGCACUAAGCGGACCAUCGCGUGUGCCAUAAGGUAGCUUUGAGGGAGUCACCUGCGGCGUUUCCACUUCGGUGGUCUAUGACAACAAAGGCUCGCGCAG